UACGGAGGAUGCAAGCGUUAUCCGGAUUUAUUGGGUUUAAAGGGUGCGUAGGCGGGAAAAUAAGUCAGUGGUGAAAUCCUACAGCUUAACUGUAGAAUUGCCGUUGAUACUGUUUUUCUUGAGUAUGGUCAAGGAAGGCGGAAUGUGUAAUGUAGCGGUGAAAUGCUUAGAUAUUACACAGAACACCAAUUGCGAAGGCAGCUUUCUGGCCCAUUAUUGACGCUGAGGCACGAAAGCGUGGGGAUCGAACAGGAUUAGAUACCCUGGUA
Molecule: ribosomal RNA, 269 nt
Filed under: uncultured prokaryote
Description: partial 16S ribosomal RNA
Rfam family: Bacterial small subunit ribosomal RNA
Source: RNAcentral